UGUUGGAUGUGCUCUUUAAGGAUGGAGUCUUCCCAAUGGCUCUGCCUCCAUGUUGGCAGGAGUCAAUAACUCUUCUUGAGUCACUAACUGCAGACUCUCUGUCCAGCACCAACCUUGAUGGUUUCCUCAUGGCCCUCGCCUCACCCCCCACAGUGGCUUCCCAAAGGAAGCCCUGUUCACUGUCUGCUAGGCUAUAAGAGUGACAUUCUCCUGAGAUAGACCUCCUUGUAGGGACAAGAUCUGGACACCAUGUUAUCAGCCUGGAAAGACUCACUGUUCCAUUGUUGGUGUUUUAGUCUUCUCCUCUCUCUUCCCCCUGCAUUCUCCCUGUAAAGCACCUAUGCAGGCCCUGGUGUUGCAUGAGCCCAGCCUCCGUGUGACAAAGUGGUGUCACUGCUGAUUGGCAGCUGGGCCUGAGACGCUGGAGCUAAACUGCAGCUCCCAUUGUUUCUUGCAAAUGUCUGCCUUUCAGGACUGUGGAAAUUGAUGACCGAAUAGUGCUGUACGAAUAGUAGCAUCAUCUAGGUUCCAGACACUGCUUUAGGUGAUGGGGACUCAGCAAUGAAUGCAAUUGACUGCCCUUCUGGAGCUUACAUUUUAGGAGGAAAGACAGAUAAUAAAAUAAUGAAACAAGA
Myotis lucifugus (little brown bat) is the source of this 635-nucleotide long non-coding RNA. RefSeq lists it as uncharacterized. The record is from RefSeq and is a predicted model, not a curated record. Lineage: Eukaryota; Metazoa; Chordata; Mammalia; Chiroptera; Vespertilionidae. The transcript has 3 exons.